This is a long non-coding RNA of Anastrepha ludens (Mexican fruit fly), 6109 nucleotides long. RefSeq lists it as uncharacterized. NCBI's taxonomy places the organism in Eukaryota, Metazoa, Arthropoda, Insecta, Diptera, Tephritidae. The record is from RefSeq and is a predicted model, not a curated record. The transcript has 4 exons.
UUGAGCCUUCCCGACAAGACAGCUGACUAUCAUAUAAGCACUCAUAUUAUCAUCAUCACUAUCCCCAUCCAACUACACAUUUUUGUUCUAGCCAUGGGAAAGUUCUGAUAGUUUCCCCUUGUCGGUGUGAUAUUCUAUCUCUCUUUUACCAAUAGCAAUUUCUUAUAACUGAAAGAUAUAUCUACUAUGCUCAAAACUACUCAUUUUCGUCAUCAAAAGGAAAUCAGCACAAACUCCUCAAUAACUCCUCAUUUUCGUUAAAAAGUAAUCAGACUGAGGAGUUUCGUUAAAUUGGUUCAUUUGGAAAUUAUAAAAUUUAUAUUGGUGUUUUCAUUGAGAUUCAAACCAACGAAUUUUCAAUAUUUUUUUGUUUCCAUUAAAAAACUUUUACACACCAAUUCGGUGUUUCAUCCACGGAGAUUCGAACUCACGAAUUUUCAAAUUUUAGCCAAGCAUCAACUCAUUCGGCUAUGGCGACUAUACAACAAAUGUAGCUAAAUUUCACACUAAUACUUUUUUCAGAGCACCAAAUUAUUUCGUUAAAAUUAAUCCACAGUGAUGACAAUAACUCCUCAUUUUCGUUAAAAAGUAAUCAGACUGGGAGUUUCGUUAAAAUAUUUUAUUUAGAAAUUAUAAAAUUUAUAUUUUACGGAGAUCCGAACUCACGAAUUUUCAACUUUUAGCCAAGCAUCUACUCAUUCGGCUAUGACGACCUUACAGCCAAGUUUCACACUAGAACUUUUUUCAGAGCAGCCACAUUAUAAGCAUAUAAAUGAGUUGUUUUGGCGUUUAACACGUUACCGCCGGCGCUGUUAUUCAUGGUCUUCGCCCACAGACGGCAACGUUUACAUCUUUUCGCUCUAUCGGAAGCGAUUGCAGGUUAUAUAAAACGAAAUUUUUUCAUAAGGGUAGUCGUUUAUGGCUUCUCAUCUCAUAGGUACCGUCUAAUAAAGUACCAUUGGUGGUACACGCCGUCCCAUGAAGCAAUCUUGUGCGGGCCACCGCUGGUACAAGCCGCCUCAUGAAGCAAUCUUGUGCGAGCCACCGGUGGUACGCGCCGCCCCAUGAAGCAGACUUGUGCGAGCCACCGGUGGUACGCGCCGGCGUGAACGUGUUAAAGUACAAUAGAUCAAUUUUUCACUUAUAUGAAAUUGCUAUUGGUAAAAGAGAGAUAGAAUUCACACCGAACAGGGGAAAAGAAUAUCAAAUGAAAUAUUUGAUUUCCCCAUUAAACAAUGUUGUAUAUGCUAUUCUGAUAAUGCGCAUGUAUUCGAGACUAAUAAAAUCCUUGUAAAUGUGUUGGAAUUUUUGUCAAAAGUGCUCAGCACUGUCUUGUAGGGUUGUAAACUUUAUCGAAAAUUACACACAUGUGUGGGGCUGAGAGUAAAAACGGAGCAUCGCAUCUCACCUCCUUUUCUUGCUCACGGAAAAUCUCAUAAGUGUGAGCAAGAGGUGAGAUGAGAUGUUGUUGUUGUUGUUUUAACAGUAAUAGAAGCCCCGUCAGUGAAGGGCAGUGCUGUCCAGAAUGAAAAAUGUGAGUGUAUAAGUGAGAACGAGAGAAUGGGAGCAGCACAGUAGGAAAUUUAAACCAAAAUAAAUACCUUUUGAUAUUACAUCUAUAGCCUCCUUUGAACGACUUGUAACAUAAAAGGCAUUGCAAGUCGCCAAAGGCAUUUUCUAGCAUAAAAAAGUUCUCACAGGUCAUUGUAUUGCAUACACUAAGCGUCGCGGACAAAUGUGGUGUUUAUUCGUUGCUGGUUUGCUAACGACUGAACGAUGGAGAGUAAGAAUACGUGUGAUCAAUUGAUGUAUGGGAUGGACAGCACUGGUGUAGGGUAUAUCACCGGUCGUCUUCGUCUGGCUCAUCUAAAGGUAGGCCCAGGAAACAAGCUGUUUCGACGGGUUGGGUCCAGAGGGAGAGGGGUGUUAGAUGAGUAGGUUUAAGAGGGCAUGUGAAGAGUGUGUCCACAGUGUCGGACGGAAUAUCUUCCGAUGCCGGACAUAUGUUUGGUAUGUCGGGGUCAAUUCUGGAUUAUUAUCCAGAACGUAGUUGUGCCAUUUUUACACGUGUCUCACGGGGAAGCUGGAGCUCUUCAUUUGCAAUAAGGGGUGGUUGGUCUACGAUUACGGCAUUCACAGGGCGGGAGCUUAAGAAGGUGGUGACGGUCUCCCGGUGAAUGACAUUUAUUGACUGUCUAAAUACUGUCUGGGCCAGUAGAUUUCUGUCAGUUUUGUCCUAGGAUGCGGCUCUGGCUCAAGCAGGUUUCUGCAAGGGUGAAACCUGCGUAGCAUCCCAGCAGUAACUGCUUGCUGAGCAGUUUAUUGUGCUUCAUUACAGGGAGCAUUUGUGACUCGUUGUGAAGAUGUUGAAUAGGGGACAUCAGGAGGCAACCGGCCGCUGUCCGAAUGGCAGUAUUUUGGCAUGUCUGUAGCUUUAUCCACUGCGUGUCACUAGUUCGAGGCGACCAGACAGGCGCAGCAUAGUUUAGAACCGGUCGACCAAUUGCCUCAAAUGUCAAUAGCAACAGUUCUUUGUGUUUGCCCCAAGUACUGCCGGCAAGCGACUUGAGGACCUUUUUUUUUGGAUCUUAAUUGCAAUUGCGGUCGUAUGCGCUGAGAAGGAGAGCAAACUGUCAAAGAUCAUACCCAAAAUUUUGGGAUUGUUUACCGCCGGAAUCGGUGUGUUGUCGACUUUUACCCUGAGGGAGAGUUUGACCUCCUUUGUCCAGGUGGUAAAGAGGGUCGCCGUGGAUUUAGAGGGGGAAAGUUGGAGAUUACUCGCAGUGAAAAAGCGAAAAAGGUCGGUGAGGUAGUUGUUCACUUUGGAGCACAGACCAUCGAUGUCAUUGCCCGACGCCAUUAUCAUGCAGUCGUCAGCGUAUGAGACCAGCGAGACUCCCUCUGGUGGUUGGGGAAGCUUCGAGAUGUAGAAGUUGAACAGCAAUGGUGAAAGGACACCACCCUGCGGUACACCUUGCUUAAUCUUCCUCUGCUUUGAGAUGAGUUGUUCCGUUUUUGCUCUCAGCCUUCCAUAUAGAACAGUAUAUGCAUGUGUGUUCGUAUGCUACACUGUGAUGUUGAGCAUACCUAUGUCAAACGAAAUGCGAAUUUCACAAUUGACAAAUGACGAAGCAGAUUAGUUUAGUUUCUCUUGUUUUGUGUAAUAAAUAUAUUUCAUUAUUAUUUAUAAAUUAAUUUAAGGGAUAUUAUCUGUGCGUGAAAAAUGAAUAAAAAAUGAAUAGAAGAAUAGGAAACAAUAAAUUUAAAACCUCGAAACAGCCAAGCAAACUGCGUUUAUUACAAACAAAUCAAACACCAUCAGGAUAAGGAGAAAUCGCAAGAUAGUAAUGAAUGUGUUUUUGAAUGUGAACUUGAAUUCUAGAAUCGGAAAAAGGAAUGCAAAAACAAUUUUCUUGUUUCAGCUGUUCCUCAGACCGAAACUAGUUAAAUUUUAUCCGAAUCACAUUCAUCCACUGUUUUUGCGGAUGGUGAAACAAUCGAUUCAACCACAUUGAAUGUAAAUGUAGUAUUAAAUGUUACUACUGAUACGGAAGUAGCAGGUAAAUGAUGAAUAAUUGUUUUUUCUUGAUAGUUCUUAGUGGGAUUAAAAGAAAAUUCAUAUUUUUAUAGAUGUUAGUGUUGAUGCUAAAGUUGUAUGAAAUGAUCCUACCGACAUCACUCCGUAUGGUAUUUUGAAGGAUAUUGAGCCUCAAGAGCUAGAUUUACGCAUUGGACACCAAUUUCCGAUGCCACACAAAAGAAAAUUCAAUCAAAAGUGGUUGAAUGAUUACGUUUGGUUGGAAUAUUCCGUAUUGAAAAAUGCUGUUUUCUGUAACGCGUGCCGCCAACUUUCUCCAAGUCCUGAAAGAGACAACGUAUUCAAAUGUACUGGUUUUUCACAUUGGAAAAGUGCUCUUGAAUCAAAUAAAGGCUUCAAAAAACAUCAGAGUUGUGGAAUGCAUUGGAACAGCAUGGCGAAAUGGGCUGAAGCAAUUGGUCGACAGAUAUAUUGCAAUGCCGUCGAAAUUAUGUGAUAAAAAUUAUUGAGGUUAUUAUUUUUUUGGUUAAAAAUGAGAUGGCUUUUCGUGGCACGUAUGACAUCGAAAAAUAUAUGGAUUUAUUAUGGAUUUAUUCGAAAAAUUAUUCUCAUAUACAAAAGCCAACAACGAAAACUUUUGCAAAUGGGAAUCGCAUAUGCCACGUCAUUACACAUAUCGAUCACCCGAUAUUCAAAAUGAGAUAAUUGGGCUUUUAGCAUUGAUGGUACGCGAGGCAGUGGCUAAUGAUGUGAUGAAAUCAGACGUACCAUAUUUCACAUUGUUAGAGGAUGGGACAAAAGAUAAACAGAACAAGGAAUGUGUUGCGAUUGCUGCAAGAUAUUUACGAAACGGCCAAGUUCAGGAAAGCAUAAUUACGAUGGAAACAUUUGCUGAUUAUUCAUGUAUGUUUUUAUUCAAUGCUAUAACGGUGCUAGUGUGAUGAGCGGCAUUGAUGGUGGUGUGCAAAGAUUGAUUCAAAACGAUUUGAAACGAAAGAUUCCGUAUUUUUACUGUCUGAACGAUCAAUUUCAUUUGGUCAUAAUCAAGGUCAUUGAAAGCGUUCAACUGGUGAAGCAAUUUUUGACCAGGCAAAACAUAUUGCAAAAUUUUUCCGUCGCCACAAAGUAAAACAACAUUACGAAGGUCAUUCCAUUUUGAAAUUAAUUGAAACUCGCUGGGUUGGCUAUUUACGUGCUUCAAAAUCCAUAUUUGAAAAGUAUGAACAUAUUAUAAAUACUUUGCCUCAGAUAACCGCUGCAGCAGGAUUCGAUGGUGGUAACGUAGCAUUAGCAGCCGGAUUGGAUACAAAGAUUCUAUGGCGCUCAUUAGAGCCGUUUAUAAAACGAUCGAAAAAUGAGAACAGAAGUUUUUUUCAAUAAAUAUUACUCUGAAGCGACAAAUCUUUUGAAGAAAUCACAUCCUACAGAAACGGCUCUCGUUUCAAGUCGCCCAAUUCGAAAUCGACGCCAUUCAAAAAUGCUAAAGGAUUUUGUUACUGAAGAAACACUGGGACAACGAAGUGAAUCCAGCAUCAUUGUGAAAUCGGCAUUUUAUGAAACUAUCUAUAUUAAGAAUAGCAUCGUUUUGUAAAAAAUGUUUCAUGCAUUCGAACCCAAGCGGUUUGAUUCUUUAGACCUGAAAACGGUUCUUUUACGAUUCAAUGAACAAAAAAAUUGCAAAGUGAGAUUAUUAAAAAAAAAUUAAUAAAUGUUAUUGUUGAAAAAAUACUGUAAACGCAGGAUAAACUAUUCAAAGAGGUUUUUAAUUACUUUUGUUUUCGACUGUUCUUUAAUUUUUCUUCCUUUUUAUCUACAUAGUAUACAUGUGAUCCCCCAAACAUGGAGGAUGAGGAGUCUCUUCCCCCUACAUCCGUUGAAGAGAACGCAGACCAAACCGUGGUUGGUUGCUCUUCAAUAACGAACAAAAGCGAUGGUGAGGAUUGUACAAAUCAAUCUUCACCACAGUAAGGCGGCCUCAGCCGCACUCAUCCUCCGUCUCGCAGAAAGAGAAGAGGAUAUCGUGCUCAUCCAAGAACCAUGGGUCGUAAAAGAUCGGGCUUGCGGUUUGAGCAGCAGAGAAUGCAAAUUGCUUUAUGUCACUAACAAAGCGAUGCGGAUAACGUCAUCACAGCGAUGGAGUCCUGCUUAAGGACUAUAUGGCUUGCCUCCUCUUAUAUGGCACACGACGCGGAGCAACCUCCUCCAUCACAACUCAUAAGAGACGCAGUUCAUGAAGCAUCGAGGUGUGGCAACCCAUGCAUACUGGGAGCAGAUGCUAAUGCACAUCAUCAUGUCUGAGGCAGAUCAGACACAAACGCACGUGGUGAGUACAUCUUUGAAUUCACUAUGUGUAACAAUCUUUAUAUUAGUAACAUAGGUGAUACCCCUACUUUUGUAACAACUACGGGAAGUUAAGUUCUAGACAUCACGUGUGUCAAUGAACGAGGGUGCCAUAUUUUAAAGGAAUGGAGAGUGUCUACAGACAACUCCUUCUCAGAUCCAAGUACUUAAUGUACACCAUUUCAUUGCCAACUAAACAGUUCAAGCCGGUUAUAAACCGCAGACGCACAA